GGCCAGGUAGCCAAGUGGCUAAGGCGUCGGUUUGCAAAACCGAUAUACACGGGUUCGACUCCCGUCCUGGCCU
This 73-nucleotide transfer RNA is filed under the name bacterium. RNAcentral's name for it is "tRNA-Cys". It matches the Rfam family "tRNA". From Rfam's summary of the family: Transfer RNA (tRNA) molecules are approximately 80 nucleotides in length. The record is from RNAcentral. RNAcentral also lists the same sequence under 1 other name.